This 255-nucleotide ribosomal RNA is filed under the name uncultured bacterium. RNAcentral describes it as "partial small subunit ribosomal RNA". It matches the Rfam family "Bacterial small subunit ribosomal RNA", at positions 26 to 286 of the family's 1533-position model. The record is from RNAcentral.
AGGACGAACGCUGGCGGCGUGCUUAACACAUGCAAGUCGAGCGGAAAGGCCCUUCGGGGUACUCGAGCGGCGAACGGGUGAGUAACACGUGAGGAACCUGCCCUGGACUUUGGGAUAACCCUCGGAAACGGGGGCUAAUACCGGAUACGACACGGUCUCGCAUGGGAUUGUGUGGAAAGUUUUUCGGUCUGGGAUGGUCUCGCGGCCUAUCAGCUUGUUGGUGGGGUAAUGGCCUACCAAGGCGACGACGGGUAG